This 332-nucleotide ribosomal RNA is filed under the name Oxyrrhis marina. Its description in RNAcentral is "partial Bacterial large subunit ribosomal RNA". It matches the Rfam family "Bacterial large subunit ribosomal RNA", at positions 458 to 793 of the family's 2925-position model. Lineage: Eukaryota; Dinophyceae; Oxyrrhinales; Oxyrrhinaceae. The record is from RNAcentral.
CUCUAAGGCUAAAUACUCGUGAUCGACCGAUAGUGAACCAGUACCGUGAGGGAAAGGCGAAAAGAACCCCGGAGAGGGGAGUGAAAUAGAACCUGAAACCGUAUGCGUACAAGCAGUGGGAGCACCUUCGGGUGUGACUGCGUACCUUUUGUAUAAUGGGUCAGCGAGUUACUUUGACGAGCAAGCCUAAGCCGUUAGGCGUAAGCGAAGCGAAAGCGAGUCUGAAUAGGGCGUUUAGUUCGUUUGAGUAGACCCGAAACCGGGUGAUCUAGCCAUGGGCAGGUUGAAGGUACGGUAACACGUACUGAAGGACCGAACCCACGUCUGUUGAA